Molecule: transfer RNA, 77 nt
Filed under: Clostridiales bacterium
Lineage: Bacteria; Bacillati; Bacillota; Clostridia; Eubacteriales
Also listed under: 1 other name
Description: tRNA-Arg
Rfam family: tRNA
About the family: Transfer RNA (tRNA) molecules are approximately 80 nucleotides in length. Their secondary structure includes four short double-helical elements and three loops (D, anti-codon, and T loops). Further hydrogen bonds mediate the characteristic L-shaped molecular structure. tRNAs have two regions of fundamental functional importance: the anti-codon, which is responsible for specific mRNA codon recognition, and the 3' end, to which the tRNAs corresponding amino acid is attached (by aminoacyl-tRNA synthetases). tRNAs cope with the degeneracy of the genetic code in two manners: having more than one tRNA (with a specific anti-codon) for a particular amino acid; and 'wobble' base-pairing, i.e. permitting non-standard base-pairing at the 3rd anti-codon position.
Source: RNAcentral
GCGGCGUUAGCUCAGUUGGAUAGAGUGAUUGGCUACGAACCAAUAGGCCAGGGGUUCGAGUCCCUUACGCCGCGCCA